Molecule: ribosomal RNA, 760 nt
Filed under: bacterium EAB-2EM43.01
Lineage: Bacteria
Description: bacterial SSU rRNA
Rfam family: Bacterial small subunit ribosomal RNA
Source: RNAcentral
CCCCGCUCAGGAUGAACGCUGGCGGCGUGCCUAAUACAUGCAAGUCGAGCGAAUGGAUUAAGAGCUUGCUCUUAUGAAGUUAGCGGCGGACGGGUGAGUAACACGUGGGUAACCUGCCCAUAAGACUGGGAUAACUCCGGGAAACCGGGGCUAAUACCGGAUAACAUUUUGCACCGCAUGGUGCGAAAUUCAAAGGCGGCUUCGGCUGUCACUUAUGGAUGGACCCGCGUCGCAUUAGCUAGUUGGUGAGGUAACGGCUCACCAAGGCAACGAUGCGUAGCCGACCUGAGAGGGUGAUCGGCCACACUGGGACUGAGACACGGCCCAGACUCCUACGGGAGGCAGCAGUAGGGAAUCUUCCGCAAUGGACGAAAGUCUGACGGAGCAACGCCGCGUGAGUGAUGAAGGCUUUCGGGUCGUAAAACUCUGUUGUUAGGGAAGAACAAGUGCUAGUUGAAUAAGCUGGCACCUUGACGGUACCUAACCAGAAAGCCACGGCUAACUACGUGCCAGCAGCCGCGGUAAUACGUAGGUGGCAAGCGUUAUCCGGAAUUAUUGGGCGUAAAGCGCGCGCAGGUGGUUUCUUAAGUCUGAUGUGAAAGCCCACGGCUCAACCGUGGAGGGUCAUUGGAAACUGGGAGACUUGAGUGCAGAAGAGGAAAGUGGAAUUCCAUGUGUAGCGGUGAAAUGCGUAGAGAUAUGGAGGAAACACCAGUGGCGAAGGCGACUUUCUGGUCUUGACUACACUNGGCGCGAAGAC